UAGUAACGGCGAGUGAAGCGGGAUGAGCUCAAGCUUAAAAUCUCUGUCACAAAUUUAUUUUGUGCGGCGAAUUGUAGUCUAUAGAGGCGUGAUCAGUGUAGGUACUUGAGAUAAGUUUCUUGAAAAAGAACAGCAUGGAGGGUGACACUCCCGUUCAUACUUAAGUGGCUUGCACGUACGAUCCGUUUUCUUUGAGUCGCGUUGUUUGAGAAUGCAGCGCAAAGUAGGUGGUAAAUUCCAUCUAAAGCUAAAUAUUGGUGCGAGACCGAUAGCGAACAAGUACCGUGAGGGAAAGAUGAAAAGAACUCUGAAAAGAGAGUUAAAGAGUACCUGAAACUGCUGAAAGGGAACCGAAUCGUUUCUAGUGUCUAUAAUCUAUGACAUAUUCCAUUGGGAAGUGUGUGCGUGUGUAUACUAUGGCAGCGGCUUUUUUUAAGCUGCGCUUGGUGUGCGUGCUGUAUGUGCUAACUGGUGCCCUGUGUUAUAGUGGGACGUCAAGGUCAGUUUGUAUGCUGCGGGAAAUGGCUACUAGGGAGGUAGGGCUUACGCUUGCGUUUGUCUAUUAUAUCUUGGUAGUUGUGUCGUGGUUGAGACUGAGGUGUUCUACAACGUGCUUAUGAGUGGGUCUGUGUCUCCGUGUGCGCCGUGUGCAGAUAGCUUGCUAUGUGUGUGUGGUGGUGUGUGGAUUGAUG
Molecule: ribosomal RNA, 692 nt
Filed under: Hyaloperonospora brassicae
Lineage: Eukaryota; Oomycota; Peronosporomycetes; Peronosporales; Peronosporaceae
Description: LSU rRNA
Rfam family: Eukaryotic large subunit ribosomal RNA
Source: RNAcentral